RNAcentral lists this long non-coding RNA (272 nucleotides) under Sorghum bicolor (sorghum). RNAcentral's name for it is "long non-coding RNA (SBIC_LNC016083)". The record is from RNAcentral. Lineage: Eukaryota; Viridiplantae; Streptophyta; Magnoliopsida; Poales; Poaceae.
AUGCCUAGAAAUCAAUUUAUACACACCCAAUAGAACUCUUAGAUGAUGUGUGUCAUAUGGAGUCUCGCUUUGGUCUAUUUAGAGACAAUAUUAGUUUCAGUGCAAGAUAGGUGCACGGUUUGCGCCUAAUGCACCAUAGGGUCGAAACCAUUGUGGAAGCACCCGAUUGUACUCCUAGGUGAAGAGGCUCAAGUGAAAGCUCGGUUUGGUCUGUUUCGAUAUAGUGCUAAUCUUGAUGCAAGAUAGGUCCAUGGUUUGCAUGGAACAUACCA